ACGACUAUUCUUUCAGGGAUCGUUUCUAUAGUUUCUGACUUGAGAAAUGCGUUUCUAAUUUGUUUGGUCUCAACUGAGCGCGACGCGGGCACAGAGAAGUGAUUCAGUUCACAUGCUCUAUGUCAUUGACAAUAAAAAUAUAAAUCUUGAAUUGAUGACCGUUCUUUACACCCUAGUGGAGUAUAGAGGUGGGGAAUAUAGACUUA
Small nucleolar RNA from Gasterosteus aculeatus aculeatus (three-spined stickleback), 206 nucleotides. Its record names the gene U3. It matches the Rfam family "Small nucleolar RNA U3". Rfam says of the family: Small nucleolar RNAs (snoRNAs) are involved in the processing and modification of rRNA in the nucleolus. There are two main classes of snoRNAs: the box C/D class, and the box H/ACA class. The record is from Ensembl. Lineage: Eukaryota; Metazoa; Chordata; Actinopteri; Perciformes; Gasterosteidae.